This 432-nucleotide ribosomal RNA is filed under the name uncultured bacterium. RNAcentral's name for it is "partial 16S ribosomal RNA". It matches the Rfam family "Bacterial small subunit ribosomal RNA", at positions 338 to 795 of the family's 1533-position model. The record is from RNAcentral.
CCUACGGGUGGCUGCAGUCGAGAAUCUUCGGCAAUGGGCGCAAGCCUGACCGAGCGACGCCGCGUGUGGGAUGAAGGCCCUUGGGUUGUAAACCACUGUCAGAGGGGAUGUGUUAAAGCCAGAGGAAGCACGGGCUAAGUUCGUGCCAGCAGCCGCGGUAAUACGAACUGUGCGAACGUUAUUCGGAAUCACUGGGCUUACAGGGUGCGUAGGCGGCUUGUUAAGUAGGGUGUGAAAGCCCCCGGCUCAACCGGGGAAUUGCGCCCUAAACUGGCGAGCUGGAGUGAGAUAGGGGUGUGUGGAACUUCCGGUGGAGCGGUGAAAUGUGUUGAUAUCGGAAGGAACGCCGGUGGCGAAAGCGACACACUGGAUCUUUCUGACGCUGAGGCACGAAAGCCAGGGGAGCGAACGGGAUUAGAUACCCUUGUAGUC